GACGAACCGUGCGAACGUUAUUCGGAAUCACUGGGCUUAAAGCGCGUGUAGGCGGGCCGGCACGUCCGCGGCUGAAAUCCCCCGGCUCAACCGGGGAAGGGGCCCGGAUACGACCGGCCUGGAGGGGGGUAGGGGGCGCCGGAACUCACGGUGGAGCGGUGAAAUGCGUUGAGAUCGUGAGGAACGCCCGUGGCGAAAGCGGGCGCCUGGACCCCGCCUGACGCUGAGGAGCGAAAGCCAGGGGAGCAAACGGG
Molecule: ribosomal RNA, 254 nt
Filed under: uncultured bacterium
Lineage: Bacteria
Description: partial 16S ribosomal RNA
Rfam family: Bacterial small subunit ribosomal RNA
Source: RNAcentral